Molecule: RNase P RNA, 341 nt
Filed under: Lachnospiraceae bacterium
Lineage: Bacteria; Bacillati; Bacillota; Clostridia; Lachnospirales; Lachnospiraceae
Description: RNase P RNA component class A
Rfam family: Bacterial RNase P class A
About the family: Ribonuclease P (RNase P) is a ubiquitous endoribonuclease, found in archaea, bacteria and eukarya as well as chloroplasts and mitochondria. Its best characterised activity is the generation of mature 5'-ends of tRNAs by cleaving the 5'-leader elements of precursor-tRNAs.
Source: RNAcentral
CGAGUCAGAUAAAUGGUCGCGCCUGUUUUAUACAGGUGAGGAAAGUCCGGGCUUCACAGGGCAGGAUGCCGGAUAACGUCCGGUGGAGGUGACUCUAAGGAAAGUGCAACAGAAAUAAACCGCCAUAUGUAUAUGGUAAGGAUGGAAAGGCGAGGUAAGAGCUCACCGCCUGACUGGUAACAGGCAGGGCACAUGUAAACCCCAUUCGAAGCAAGACCAAGAAGAAGGCGCGAAGGCUUGCCCGGCCAGCCUUCAGGUAGGUCGCUGGAGCUUGCUGGUAACAGUAAGUCGAGAUAGAUGACCAUUCACGACAUAACCCGGCUUAUCGUCUGGCUCGUUUU